AUGGCAUUGGCAAUUCAACAUUCAAACCUUCCGGUGGUUUUGCAGUCGGAUUCUUCGGAGGCCUUGUCUAGCGUGUCUAAUGCUGCGUUGGUUCGUUCAGCUUAUGGCCAUUUAGUUCUUGAGAUUAAGGAUCUUCUUGGUAGUAGGGAGUUUGUUCCUCAAAAAAUUAGUCAUACUCAGAAUAGAGUUGCCGAUUGGUUGGCCAAUUAUAGCCGAUCUGAACGAGCUACCGCGGUGUGGCCUGGCUCGGUACCACCUUGUAUUGAGGAUUUGUGGCCUCUUGAAUGUAACUCUAUGAACUUGCAAUAA
Molecule: ribosomal RNA, 309 nt
Filed under: Triticum aestivum (bread wheat)
Lineage: Eukaryota; Viridiplantae; Streptophyta; Magnoliopsida; Poales; Poaceae
Description: partial small subunit ribosomal RNA
Source: RNAcentral